AAGAAGCUGGUUUCACAUGGUGGUUUAGAUGUGUGCUGCUCUUGUCUAGCACCAUUUGAAAUCAGUGUUCU
This is a non-coding RNA of Oreochromis niloticus (Nile tilapia), 71 nucleotides long. NCBI's taxonomy places the organism in Eukaryota, Metazoa, Chordata, Actinopteri, Cichliformes, Cichlidae. The record is from Rfam.